AGGGGAAAUGGAGGAAAAGAAGGUAAAGAGCCAUGGAGAGCAACCUCUGUGGAAUAUUCCACGGGUCUAAGCCAUUAUUUGUGGAUUCCAGCGUUCUGAUAAGAAGACUGGAACAGAACUGCACUGAUGGGCCAACUACAAGCCAUCCUUUUCCCGAGUGAUACGUUUGGUCAGUGGACGGUGAAGAUCCCAGGGGGUGUCCUCGGAGAGCAUGGCACGGAGGACAGAAGCAGGAAGAAACAGAGCCCCAAGAAAAGCUGUCAGAGACAAGACUGCAACCUGAAGACUUAAACCUUGCCAGUUUAAACUGGCUCUGUGUAUGGUGAUAAGGAGCCUGGAGGACAGACAGGUUGAAUCAGGAGACAGCUGGAUGGACAUGCUGAUCUGCACUAAGGCCUCUGCACUGUGCAAUUCCUAAGUCUAGACUGGAAGUGAAAUGUAAAGACCUACACAUUACUAGACCAUAUUUUGGAAUAGAAACCAUUUUAGUGUUAAAAAAAAACAACCCCUGAAAUUUGAAAUAAUUGGAAGACUCAGUGAAUAAUAAUGGAUCACCACAAGUUUCUAUUUUUACACAUGUACCAUACCUGUAUAAGAUAUUGUUGGGUCUCUUUGGGGAAGGAAGUAAAGGAAAUUUGGUAUUAGAUUGGCAUCACAUCUAUAAAUAUAAGAUUAUUAAAAACAGAUUUUUUUUUUAAGAAUCAUGAAUAGAGGUACUAAAGUCGAGCUUGAAAACACAACCAAGUAAUUAAGCACGAAUCCAGAAUGCUAAGUGCCACACCCAUCCUUCUUGGGAAGAUUCCCCCGGGUCCCUGGUACCUGGCCUUCAUCCAUGGUCACAAGUUGUCUUCCAUCUAACCCAGCCUCUUUUAACAAGCUUUGGUCCAUUCACUAAGAAAGGUAAACACCUGUCUGCACAUGCUUUGGCCUUCAUACUCUUGACUUAGCAUUUCUGUUUCCUCAAGUGAGAAGAUGUAUUUUUAAUCUUUUCAUCAGUGAAAUCAAUGCAGAAAUUAGUCAUGUCUAUUCUUAGCACAUUGUUUCAAGUGUCAGUUUCUCCAAGCAUCUCACCUAUGCACACCCAGCUUAACUGAAAGAAAUAUAUAUGUAUGUAU
This is a long non-coding RNA of Microtus ochrogaster (prairie vole), 1115 nucleotides long. RefSeq lists it as uncharacterized. Lineage: Eukaryota; Metazoa; Chordata; Mammalia; Rodentia; Cricetidae. The transcript has 3 exons. The record is from RefSeq and is a predicted model, not a curated record.